Molecule: ribosomal RNA, 253 nt
Filed under: uncultured bacterium
Lineage: Bacteria
Description: partial 16S ribosomal RNA
Rfam family: Bacterial small subunit ribosomal RNA
Source: RNAcentral
UACGAAGGGGGCUAGCGUUGUUCGGAAUUACUGGGCGUAAAGCGCACGUAGGCGGACAUUUAAGUCAGGGGUGAAAUCCCAGAGCUCAACUCUGGAACUGCCUUUGAUACUGGGUGUCUUGAGUAUGGAAGAGGUGAGUGGAAUUCCGAGUGUAGAGGUGAAAUUCGUAGAUAUUCGGAAGAACACCAGUGGCGAAGGCGGCUCACUGGACCGGUAUUGACGCUGAGGUGCGAAAGCGUGGGGAGCAAACAGG